This 329-nucleotide ribosomal RNA is filed under the name uncultured Planctomycetales bacterium. Its description in RNAcentral is "bacterial SSU rRNA". It matches the Rfam family "Bacterial small subunit ribosomal RNA", at positions 42 to 386 of the family's 1533-position model. Lineage: Bacteria; Pseudomonadati; Planctomycetota; Planctomycetia; Planctomycetales. The record is from RNAcentral.
GCGUGGAUUAGGCAUGCAAGUCGAGCGAGAAGUUUACUUCGGUAAAUGGACAGCGGCGAAAGGGACAGUAAUGUGUAGGUACCUACCCCCCGAUCUGGGAUAGCUGCGGGAAACUGCAGGUAAUACCGGAUAAUGUCUUCGGACCAAAGGUGUGAUUCCGUCAGGGGAGGGGCCUGCAUCCUAUUAGCUUGUUGGUGAGGUAAUGGCUCACCAAGGCAACGAUGGGUAGCGGGUGUGAGAGCAUGACCCGCGUCAUUGGGACUGAGACACUGCCCAGACAUCUACGGAUGGCUGCAGUCGAGAAUCUUCGGCAAUGGGCGAAAGCCUGA